UACGUAGGUGGCAAGCGUUGUCCGGAUUUACUGGGUGUAAAGGGCGUGUAGCCGGGCUGACAAGUCAGAUGUGAAAUUCCGGGGCUCAACCCCGGACCUGCAUUUGAAACUGUUGGUCUUGAGUAUCGGAGAGGCAGGCGGAAUUCCUAGUGUAGCGGUGAAAUACGUAGAUAUUAGGAGGAACACCAGUGGCGAAGGCGGCCUGCUGGACGACAACUGACGGUGAGGCGCGAAAGCGUGGGGAGCAAAUAGG
RNAcentral lists this ribosomal RNA (253 nucleotides) under uncultured bacterium. RNAcentral describes it as "partial 16S ribosomal RNA". It matches the Rfam family "Bacterial small subunit ribosomal RNA", at positions 524 to 776 of the family's 1533-position model. The record is from RNAcentral.